GAUGAAGAACGCAGCGAAAUGCGAUAAGUAAUGUGAAUUGCAGAAUUCAGUGAAUCAUCGAAUCUUUGAACGCACAUUGCGCCCGCCAGUAUUCUGGCGGGCAUGCCUGUUCGAGCGUCAUUUCAACCAUCAAGCCACAGGCUUGUGUUGGGGACCUGCGGCUGCCGCAGGCCCUGAAAACCAGUGGCGGGCUCGCUGUCACACCGGGCGUAGUAGAUUUUAUCUCGCUCAGGGCGUGCUGCGGGUUCCGGCCGUUAAAAAGCCUUUUUUACCCAAGGUUGACCUCGGAUCAGGUAGGAAGACCCGCUGAACUUAAGCAUAUCAAUAAGCGGAGGA
RNAcentral lists this unclassified non-coding RNA (336 nucleotides) under soil metagenome. RNAcentral's name for it is "partial contains 5.8S ribosomal RNA, internal transcribed spacer 2, and large subunit ribosomal RNA". The stretch from base 1 to 120 matches the Rfam family "5.8S ribosomal RNA", at positions 35 to 154 of the family's 154-position model. The record is from RNAcentral.